UGGGGAAUAUUGGACAAUGGACCAAGAGUCUGAUCCAGCAAUUCUGUGUGCACGAUGAAGUUUUUCGGAAUGUAAAGUGCUUUCAGUUGGGAAGAAGAAAGUGACGGUACCAACAGAAGAAGCGACGGCUAAAUACGUGCCAGCAGCCGCGGUAAUACGUAUGUCGCAAGCGUUAUCCGGAUUUAUUGGGCGUAAAGCGCGUCUAGGCGGCUAAAUAAGUCUGAUGUGAAAAUGCGGGGCUCAACUCCGUAUUGCGUUGGAAACUGUAUAGCUAGAGUACUGGAGAGGUAAGCGGAACUACAAGUGUACAGGUGAAAUUCGUAGAUAUUUGUAGGAAUGCCGAUGGGGAAGCCAGCUUACUGGACAGAUACUGACGCUAAAGCGCGAAAGCGUGGGUAGCAAACAG
This 406-nucleotide ribosomal RNA is filed under the name uncultured bacterium. Its description in RNAcentral is "bacterial SSU rRNA". It matches the Rfam family "Bacterial small subunit ribosomal RNA", at positions 355 to 775 of the family's 1533-position model. The record is from RNAcentral.